GUGUCAGCAGCCGCGGUAAUACGUAGGGUGCGAGCGUUAAUCGGAAUUACUGGGCGUAAAGCGUGCGCAGGCGGCGCCGCAAGUCAGGCGUGAAAUCCCCGGGCUUAACCUGGGAAUGGCGCUUGAAACUACGGUGCUUGAGUGUGGCAGAGGGAGGUGGAAUUCCACGUGUAGCGGUGAAAUGCGUAGAGAUGUGGAGGAACACCGAUGGCGAAGGCAGCCUCCUGGGCCAACACUGACGCUCAUGCACGAAAGCGUGGGGAGCAAACAGGAUUAGAAACCCUAGUAGUCC
This 292-nucleotide ribosomal RNA is filed under the name uncultured bacterium. Its description in RNAcentral is "partial 16S ribosomal RNA". It matches the Rfam family "Bacterial small subunit ribosomal RNA", at positions 505 to 796 of the family's 1533-position model. The record is from RNAcentral.